AGAGGUGGCAAGCGUUGUUCGGAAUUACUGGGCGUAAAGGGCGCGUAGGCGGCCCGUUAAGUCCCGUGUGAAAGCCCCCGGCUCAACCGGGGAACGGCACGGGAAACUGGCAGGCUUGAGUUCGGGAGAGGGAAGCGGAAUUUCGGGUGUAGCGGUGAAAUGCGCAGAUAUCCGAAGGAACACCGGUGGCGAAGGCGGCUUCCUGGACCGACACUGACGCUGAGGCGCGAAAGCUAGGGGAGCAAACGGGAUUAGAUACCCCGGUAGUCCUAGCCCUAAACGAUGGANCACNGGGUGUAGAGGGUAUGAACCCCUUCUGUGCCGAAGCUAACGCAUUAAGUGUUCCGCCUGGGGAGUACGGUCGCAAGGCUG
RNAcentral lists this ribosomal RNA (372 nucleotides) under uncultured bacterium. Its description in RNAcentral is "bacterial SSU rRNA". It matches the Rfam family "Bacterial small subunit ribosomal RNA", at positions 527 to 896 of the family's 1533-position model. The record is from RNAcentral.